Molecule: long non-coding RNA, 368 nt
Filed under: Vigna radiata
Lineage: Eukaryota; Viridiplantae; Streptophyta; Magnoliopsida; Fabales; Fabaceae
Description: long non-coding RNA (VRAD_LNC004879)
Source: RNAcentral
UCAUUUUUUAUUAAAUUUGACUUGAUUUUUGUUUUUUUUUUAUUUUUAUAUAAAAGUGCUUUUUAGGGUUUUGUUUCUUGUAUAUGCAGGAUACAAUUCAUACUAGGAGCAAGAAAAAUCAGCAACCUCUUCUUAAAGGUUUGAGUGCAACUCGAAGGAGAGGAAAGGUUCGAAGAUCAUCUAAAGAAUUAUUCUCCUCUCUUGAGAGACUGUUGCAACCCCAACAAUAACAUCCAACCAGAGCACAGAAGAGAUGGCUGAGGAGGAAGCUCCUUUUAGACGCAUUCUGGCGGAUGCACCGAAUGUGGUUGGCCCUCAACACUUUAACAAAAUUGCGAGGCCAAGGGUAAAUGCACUAAACAUGGAAG